Molecule: ribosomal RNA, 447 nt
Filed under: uncultured bacterium
Lineage: Bacteria
Description: bacterial SSU rRNA
Rfam family: Bacterial small subunit ribosomal RNA
Source: RNAcentral
UGGGGAAUUUUGGGCAAUGGGCGCAAGCCUGAUCCAGCCAUGCCGCGUGGAUGAUGAAGGCCUUAGGGUUGUAAAAUCCUUUCGCCGAGGACGAUAAUGACGGUACUCGGAGAAGAAGCUCCGGCUAACUUCGUGCCAGCAGCCGCGGUAAUACGAAGGGGGCUAGCGUUGUUCGGAUUUACUGGGCGUAAAGCGCGUGUAGGCGGGUCGUUAAGUUGGGGGUGAAAUCCCGAGGCUCAACCUCGGAACUGCCUUCAAAACUGGCGACCUGGACCCAAGUAGAGGCAAGUGGAAUUGCGAGUGUAGAGGUGAAAUUCGUAGAUAUUCGCAGGAACACCAGUGGCGAAGGCGACUUGCUGGACUUGUGGUGACGCUGAGACGCGAAAGCGUGGGGAGCAAACAGGAUUAGAUACCCCGGUAGUCCCUGAGCGGGCUGGCAAGGCGCAU